Molecule: non-coding RNA, 240 nt
Organism: Vicia faba (fava bean)
Lineage: Eukaryota; Viridiplantae; Streptophyta; Magnoliopsida; Fabales; Fabaceae
Source: the annotation of a GenBank genome assembly
AUGGAGGCACACAAAGAAAGGGAAGAGAAAUUAGAAAAAGAGAACACAAGAGGAAUAUCAGAGAAGAUUGUUAGUAACCAAAUCAAUGAUGAUAGACGUAAAAGGGAAUUAGAGUGUGACAAAGUGACCAAAAAGAUUACUUAUGACAACAUAAUUUCAAGUGGUGAAACAGCUCAAGAUCCUAAUGAUGUAUUGGCUUUCUCUCGAUCAGUUUAUAAUGUUGAUUCCUCACUCGAGUGA